RNAcentral lists this ribosomal RNA (289 nucleotides) under uncultured bacterium. RNAcentral describes it as "partial 16S ribosomal RNA". It matches the Rfam family "Bacterial small subunit ribosomal RNA", at positions 333 to 639 of the family's 1533-position model. The record is from RNAcentral.
AACUCCCUACGGGGGGCAGCAGUGGGGGCUAUUGCACAAUGGGGGGAACCCUGAUGCAGCGACGCCGCGUGGGUGAAGAAGCGCCUCGGCGCGUAAAGCCCUGUCAGCAGGGAAGAAAAUGACGGUACCUGAAGAAGAAGCCCCGGUUAACUACGUGCCAGCAGCCGCGGUAAUCCGUAGGGGGCAAGCGUUAUCCGGAUUUACUGGGUGUAAAGGGGGCGCAGACGGCGAUGCAAGCCAGGAGUGAAAGCUCGGGGCCCAACCCCGGGACUGCUCUUGGAACUGCGUG